RNAcentral lists this ribosomal RNA (355 nucleotides) under uncultured bacterium. RNAcentral describes it as "partial 16S ribosomal RNA". It matches the Rfam family "Bacterial small subunit ribosomal RNA", at positions 338 to 710 of the family's 1533-position model. The record is from RNAcentral.
CCUACGGGGGGCAGCAGUAGGGAAUAUUGCGCAAUGGGGGAAACCCUGAAGCAGCAACGCCGCGUGGAGGAUGAAGGUUUUCGGAUUGUAAACUCCUUUUGUUAGAGACGAUAAUGACGGUAUUUAACGAAUAAGAACCGGCUAACUCCGUGCCAGCAGCCGCGGUAAUACGGAGGGUGCAAGCGUUACUCGGAAUCACUGGGUGUAAAGAGCGCGGAGGCGGGAUAGCAAGUCAGAUGUGAAAUCCUAUGGCUUAACCAUAGGACUGCAUUUGAAACUGUUAUUCUAGAGUAUGGGAGAGGUAAGUGGAAUUCUUGGUGUAGGGGUAAAAUCCGUAGAGAUCAAGAGGAAUACU